GGGCGGUUAGCUCAGUUGGUUAGAGCGCUAGCUUGACAUGCUAGAGGCCACAAGUUCAAAUCUUGUACCGCCCA
This 74-nucleotide transfer RNA is filed under the name Spirochaetaceae bacterium. Its description in RNAcentral is "tRNA-Val". It matches the Rfam family "tRNA". Rfam says of the family: Transfer RNA (tRNA) molecules are approximately 80 nucleotides in length. Their secondary structure includes four short double-helical elements and three loops (D, anti-codon, and T loops). Further hydrogen bonds mediate the characteristic L-shaped molecular structure. tRNAs have two regions of fundamental functional importance: the anti-codon, which is responsible for specific mRNA codon recognition, and the 3' end, to which the tRNAs corresponding amino acid is attached (by aminoacyl-tRNA synthetases). tRNAs cope with the degeneracy of the genetic code in two manners: having more than one tRNA (with a specific anti-codon) for a particular amino acid; and 'wobble' base-pairing, i.e. permitting non-standard base-pairing at the 3rd anti-codon position. Lineage: Bacteria; Pseudomonadati; Spirochaetota; Spirochaetia; Spirochaetales; Spirochaetaceae. The record is from RNAcentral.